GAGUUUGAUCUUGGCUCAGAUUGAACGCUGGCGGCAUGCCUUACACAUGCAAGUCGAACGGCAGCACGGGAGCUUGCUCCUGGUGGCGAGUGGCGAACGGGUGAGUAAUGCAUCGGAACGUAUCCUGGAGUGGGGGAUAACGUAGCGAAAGUUACGCUAAUACCGCAUAUUCUGUGAGCAGGAAAGCGGGGGACCUUCGGGCCUCGCGCUCUUGGAGCGGCCGAUGUCGGAUUAGCUAGUUGGUGAGGUAAAGGCUCACCAAGGCGACGAUCCGUAGCAGGUCUGAGAGGAUGAUCUGCCACACUGGAACUGAGACACGGUCCAGACUCCUACGGGAGGCGGCAGUGGGAAUUUUGGACAAUGGGGCAACCCUGAUCCAGCCAUGCCGCGUGAGUGAAGAAGGCCUCGGUU
RNAcentral lists this ribosomal RNA (411 nucleotides) under bacterium enrichment culture clone ALO1_GLFRUDD03F06HW. RNAcentral describes it as "bacterial SSU rRNA". It matches the Rfam family "Bacterial small subunit ribosomal RNA", at positions 9 to 424 of the family's 1533-position model. The record is from RNAcentral.